Molecule: long non-coding RNA, 1411 nt
Filed under: Bos grunniens (domestic yak)
Lineage: Eukaryota; Metazoa; Chordata; Mammalia; Artiodactyla; Bovidae
Description: lncRNA (ENSBGRG00000014199.1)
Source: RNAcentral
UGCCUUCUUUUCUUAUCCUUUAUCUCUCUUUCAUUAUCAUGAUCUUUUCCUUUCAGUGACACUUAUGGAGUCAUGAGUUACUCUCACUAAGCUAAAAAUAAAAAUUGAUUUUCAUUAGUAUGUCCUCUCGGUGUCAGGGAGUUAUCAUAUGAUCCUUAAACAUAGUUACCUUUUCCUCACAUUGGAUGUAUGUCUUAUUACACUGUUAUCAUAAAGGAUAAAGGCCAUAUUUAUCUUGCUUCACACUGCAUGGCCAGCAUGUAGCACAGUUCUUGGUUUAUGGUAAGUGCUCACUAAACGUUUGUUGAAUAAAGGAAUUAAUUAAUUAAGCUUUUCCACAGACAUGCACACAGGCGGCCAGACGAAAAAAAGUCCACAAACACAAAAGUAUAAAGACAAAUACGUGACACACACACGUAUGUAUGUGUAACGCUUUAACAGCCUCCAUUUCUCCCUCUCAUACUAUCUCUCAUCCUGGAACCUUGUCAACAUAAUUCAUCUCUUCUAGGAUAUUAAUUCACCUACACGGAGUGAGGGAUGAUAGCAUAACCCACUGGAAUAUGUACAUUUCUACUAGAGUAGUUCAGGUAUAAAAUGGCUUGAUUGUCAUUCUUAAGGUAGGCAUGUUUCUUCAUAUUAACUUUAGACAUUUUUGUUUUUAUUUAGAUCGAAGUCAGAAAGUAGUCCCCAAACAAAUCGCAGCAGUAACUAACAAUUCCUUCAGAAGGCAAUGGAUAUCACUCGGGGUCUCACUGAAAAAUGAAAAUUCGACCUUUUCUUCUCUGGUCACAGCUGAUGGAAAACAAUAAACCAAGAUGGACCAAUUUGCAGGAGUGUCUGUUUUUAUUUCCUCUCCCACUCCGAGGCAUAAUUUUGCCAUGUCAGGGCCUUUGACUGAAGACAGUCAAUCUGAACUCCCAUGACUCCCUGAGCUCUUCUCCACAGCUUUCCCCACCACCCACUUGGGUUUAUUGCCUAGGCCCCUAGUGGCUGGGGAUAUGCAUCAACUGCUGUUACUCAGGGAAGGAUCUGUGUGUGGACUGUGUUCCUCCUCCUGGUCCUUCUCACUGGACUUGGCUGACUGCAUGCAGAUCUCAGUUAAUACAGCUAUUUGCCCCCCUCCCUCCCCACAACUGCAGAACCAGGGCUAAGGUAAACUGUGCUUGCUCAGGCCUCACAUUCUGCUUGCCACCUUUCUCGUGCCCCUCGGUUGAGUGACCCACAGGAUGAAUCCCGGAAGACAGAAGGACCCAGAGAGCUUGGGAUUUGGUCUCAGGAGCAAAGAUUAAUACCUUAUCAGAGUUUGAUACGAAGAUUGAUAAAUUGAGUUAGGAAAAAUAUCUCUCAUUUUCCUUUUUCUGAAACUAUGUAUUAAAUUGUUCAGUUUUUCAAUAAAUAUUUGGCAAAAUUC